UAGGGAAUAUUGCUUAAUGGGCGCAAGCCUGAAGCAGCAACGCCGCGUGUGCGAUGAAGGCCUUCGGGGCGUAAAGCACUUUUUGGAGGGAUGAGGAAGGACAGUACCUCCAGAAUAAGCCUCGGCUAACUACGUGCCAGCAGCCGCGGUAACACGUAGGAGGCAAGCGUUAUUCGGAUUUACUGGGCGUAAAGCGCAUGUAGGCGGUCUGGAAAGUUGGAUGUGAAAGCUCCCGGCUUAACUGGGAGAGGUCGUUCAAAACUACCAGGCUAGAGGAUGGGAGAGGGAGGUGGAAUUCCGGGUGUAGUGGUGAAAUGCGUAGAUAUCCGGAGGAACACCAGUGGCGAAAGCGGCCUCCUGGCCCAAACCUGACGCUCAGAUGCGAAAGCUAGGGUAGCAAACG
Molecule: ribosomal RNA, 403 nt
Filed under: uncultured bacterium
Lineage: Bacteria
Description: bacterial SSU rRNA
Rfam family: Bacterial small subunit ribosomal RNA
Source: RNAcentral